Long non-coding RNA from Mesocricetus auratus (golden hamster), 2608 nucleotides. RefSeq lists it as uncharacterized. The transcript has 4 exons. The record is from RefSeq and is a predicted model, not a curated record. Lineage: Eukaryota; Metazoa; Chordata; Mammalia; Rodentia; Cricetidae.
GCAGCAUGUGAGAGAGUGAUUUAGAUGAGAAGGGGGAUAAUUUCAGGAACUCUGUGAGGGGCUGUUCCCUAUGACUCAACUUCCCUAUCUGCAGAAUGAGGGAGCCCACAAAAUACCUGCAAAACACUGUUUCUCGUGGAGAUAGGCAACCAAUCAACUAAGACGUUUGGCACUAGGGGUCUGGACCAAACUCCAACACGGAUAUGAAAGAGCCGUGCAGACCGGAGAGGGCUUGAUGACUGAAAACUGUAGUUUCUAUUACUCUCUAGAUCCUCUAGUCAAUGGGAAGAUCAAGUUUGAUUUCUGCUUCAUAAAGAAAGAGGAAUCCACAACCUAAAUCCACUUGACUGUAUUGUGUUACCCACUUUCCCUGUUGCCUGACAACAGGGACUUAAGGGAGGGAUGCAAGCAGAGGUGGAGCUUUCCUUUUUCCCGCCACCUGUCCCAAAUAAUCACACACAAGCUUAUACUAAUUACAGAAUGCACAGCCUAUGGGUGAGCCUUAUUACUAACUAGCUCCUUCAACUUGCUUAAUCCAAUCCUAUUCAUCUAUAUUUUGCAACAUGAACUCCACUUCUUGGAACAGUAUGUCCAAGUUCACGCAAUCCUAUGAAACCCUAAGACACCACGUUCUCAAUUAAUGAUGAAUGAAUGAAUGAAUGAGCAAUUCCUCUAAGGGGUUUUCUGUAUUGAAUUCCACAAUAAGGAAGUAAUUUGGAAUAUCUCAAGCUUUUCUCCUAAGAGCUCCACAGCUGGACAUCUCUGAGAUGCAGGAUCCUGGCCAGUCUGGAUGUCAAUAUGCAAACGAAGGAACCUACAGCAACUUCUGUGAAGAACCUCUACCAUGUUAAUUCCCUUCAGUGACCUCAAGCCAGGAUUCUGGUAGAAGAAACAGGAGCGGAUGGAGAAGUACCAAGACACCCUCACUAGAAAAGCCCUCGAGGCCAUCAUUCAACUGUACACAUACAUGUGUGCGUGAGUGGAGAUACACACUUUGGGUAGUUGAUGACAAAUAAAAUGGCUGUUUGACAAUCCUUCAGACAGGAAGAGAGAUGAGGAGUGGUAGAGCCCUUACCUGCUAUAAACGAGGAAGAGAUUGUGUCCCAGAAAAGAGAAAUCACUAUUCCUGAGUCACACUGCUGGCAGAAGCAAGCAUUGAACCCAGGUGUCCUGACGCCAGGUCUAGGACAACACCACAGUGCAGCCACCCAGGAUUGCAAACCUGAUUUACACCAUCACUUGUAGGUUUUUACAGUCUCCAACCUGGGCUUCCCAGCACCCUGUGGAGUGUAGAAGCACCCCUCACCUCACACACAUUGACUUCAGCAAUGCCAGCCCAUUGGUCGCUCUACCAUCAAGCCCGAGUCUCCCGUUGUGAAUCAUCUCUUAAAGGAGUUUUACAUCUGCUGCAGGGAAAUUUACGGGCCUCAAGUUACCAGCCAUAAUUUUGGUCAUUUGGGGGAAAUAAUGAUGCUAUAGUCGUCACUUUCCAAAUGUUGCAGGAACCUGACCCCAAUCAAGAAACCUCUCAAUAAAUCAGCUCAAAAAUGGCAUCCAUUUCUUGCCUUGCUGUUCAGAAGGUCGCAGCUCUGAAUCAGUGUCUGGGCUGGAGAAAGCAUCCAACUCACAGUCUCGUCUAGAUUUUCAUAACAGCUGCCAUUGUUCAAAGAGGGAUUCAUAACUCUCCGUGGACUCCAGCCAACGGGCCUGAGCCAGACCCACUAUUUAUGUCUGUUUGCUUGCGCGAAGUGCUCUAUGGUUUUCAGGAGUUGCUCUUUCAGUGUGGGAGCUGUUCAGGUCUCCUCGGCCUGGUGCUGCCUGUGGACAUCACUUCACAGCAAACACUCCUUGCUGACAAGCUGUUGUAAGUCUUCUUUGGCCCUUGAUUUAUGUUCAGAUGACCAGGAUCAUUGUACAACAAGACUGAGGUCAUUAAGAGCAAAAGCAACAGCCAACUCUUUGGAAGUGAUUGCGCUGAGCCAAGAAACACUCAUUAAUUCACGCACUGCUAAAAACAACUCCGUGAUGGUGGAAUCCUGCUAUCCUCAACCCCAGGAAACUGAGGCACAGCUUGGGUGGGUCGUACACUAAUACUCAGAAGAGCUGGGGUGAGAGGCCGAGAAGACUGGUUCCUGUGACCCCUUCUUAUAAAAAGAGAUUUAUUGUCUAUAAUUUACAUACCAUAUAACUCACCCUCUUGACGUCUACAGUUCAGUGUGUGUUAGUACAUUCCAAACUGGGCAACUGUCAUCACUUUCUAAUUCCAGGAUAUUUUCCUCACCCUCAAGGAGACCCUGUACACAUUUGUAAACAUCCCUAACCUUGCUUCUGUGGUCCUCAGCCGUCACAAAUCCAUUCUCUGUCUUUGUUUUUCUUUUCUGAAUUACUUCAUUCAAAUGGAAACAUGCAAUAUGUAACCUUUUGUAUCCAGAAAGUUUCCAAGGUCCAUCCAUUAGUUGUAUGUAUCAAUACUUCAUUCUUUUUACAGCCAAAUGUCACCUGUUGUGUGGAGACCUGCUUUGUUUAUCCAUUGACCAGCUGGAUGCUUCCACUCUUUUGCUCAGUAUGAAUAAUGCUGUUGUAUUUGUUGCUUUUCUCUUUUUUAAAU